RNAcentral lists this non-coding RNA (151 nucleotides) under uncultured Muricomes sp. The record is from RNAcentral. Lineage: Bacteria; Bacillati; Bacillota; Clostridia; Lachnospirales; Lachnospiraceae.
GCUGGGGAAUGAUAAUAGGGAAACCGGUGCGAGGCCGGUACAGUCACCUCUACUGUAACGUGGACGAAGAAACGAUUAUACCAUUGGCAUUUAUAUGCUGAGAAGGUGUUUCGGAGGAUGAAGCGAAGUCAGAAGACCUGCCGUGAUGAUU